UGUAAAUGCUUAGAUGCCUC
This 20-nucleotide non-coding RNA is filed under the name Arabidopsis thaliana (thale cress). Lineage: Eukaryota; Viridiplantae; Streptophyta; Magnoliopsida; Brassicales; Brassicaceae. The record is from RNAcentral.